This 486-nucleotide ribosomal RNA is filed under the name uncultured bacterium. RNAcentral's name for it is "bacterial SSU rRNA". It matches the Rfam family "Bacterial small subunit ribosomal RNA", at positions 30 to 507 of the family's 1533-position model. The record is from RNAcentral.
AUUGAACGCUGGCGGAAUGCUUUACACAUGCAAGUCGAACGGCAGCAUAGGUGCUUGCACCUGAUGGCGAGUGGCGAACGGGUGAGUAAUACAUCGGAACGUGCCCAGUCGUGGGGGAUAACGUAGCGAAAGUUACGCUAAUACCGCAUACGAUCUACGGAUGAAAGCGGGGGACCGUAAGGCCUCGCGCGAUUGGAGCGGCCGAUGUUAGAUUAGGUAGUUGGUGGGGUAAAGGCUCACCAAGCCGACGAUCUGUAGCUGGUCUGAGAGGACGACCAGCCACACUGGAACUGAGACACGGUCCAGACUCCUACGGGAGGCAGCAGUGGGGAAUUUUGGACAAUGGACGCAAGUCUGAUCCAGCCAUUCCGCGUGCAGGACGAAGGCCUUCGGGUUGUAAACUGCUUUUGUACAGAACGAAAAGGUUUCUAUUAAUACUAGGAGCUCAUGACGGUACUGUAAGAAUAAGCACCGGCUAACUACGAG